Molecule: long non-coding RNA, 1209 nt
Organism: Wyeomyia smithii (pitcher-plant mosquito)
Lineage: Eukaryota; Metazoa; Arthropoda; Insecta; Diptera; Culicidae
Exons: 3
Source: RefSeq, a predicted model, not a curated record
ACUUUGGUUUGAAGUGCCUCGGCUCUAAUUUUCAGCAUCAUUUACGUAAGGUUUUUUUGUUAAUUAAUAUAGUUUAGCUAGCGUUAUUUGCGCUUAAUCCUGUUAAGUGAACCAAUAAGCAGCUGUAUCAAGUGGAGAAACGAUGGCACGUACACCUAUUCGUAAACCGACAAAAAGACGGUCGUGGAACAUUGAGAAUCUGUCCCGAGCCAUGAAAGCCGUACACCUCGGUUUGUCUAAAACUCAAGCAGCAAUCCAAUACGGCAUUCCCAAACGUAUUUUGAGACGGUAUUUAGAUUCAACGGUACAUCCAGAGAAUGUAAAGUUAGCUCGACUGGGAAGUUUUGCCACAGUAUUCUCACCCCAGCAGAAGGAGCAGCUGGCCGCGUACGCGAUCGAAAUGUGUCAAUGCUUCUACGGAUUAACGACUCGGAACAUGCGAAGCUUACCCGAAAAAAAUAACAUCAAAAAUACAUCAAAAAUUGCUGUAAUUGUACAUAGUUUUACCAUAAUUUAACCAUGUUUUUUAUUGUAAAUACAUCAUUUUUACAUUAUAUAUCAUUGUUCAGAAUAAUAAAAAACAUUGUUUUUGCCAUUUUUACCAUGAAAAAGGGGGGUGGUUAUGUAUCUUAACAGCAUUUUUUCAGGCACUUUUCCCAUACAUUUAGAAGUCACUGACGAUGUUUUUCAUGGUAAAAUUAUUGUUGGUGGUAGGUUCAACAACAAAAAACAUUGUUAAAACAUGGUAAUAACCACAAAUGUUCGCAAGCUUACAGUAAAAGUACCAUGUUUUUUAUGGUUACAAUAAAAAGUAUUGUCCAUUAACUGUUUCGACCACAAAAUACAUCGUAAAUUUUUUUUCGGGUAGCGUAUCAGAUGGCUGAAAAAAAUGGGAUUCCGCAUCUAUUUGACAAGGAACUCAAGCUAGCUGGGCCAGAUUGGCUAAAAGGUUUUCUUCAGCGUCAUCCAAACAUUUCCCUUCGAACACCGGAAAACACUUCUAUCGCACGGGCAAGAGGCUUCAAUCGGAAAAGUGUUGCGCAGUUUUUCGAUCUGCUGGAACGGGUCUUUGAUGAGCAUCCUUACCCACCCAGUAGGGUUAUCAACGUUGACGAAACGAGUGUCGGCACUGUCCGGGGGCGAAAGACGAAAGUACUGGCAAACAAAGGGCAACAUCAAGUUGGCAGACUAGUUUCGGCAGAAAGAGGU